CAAAGCUUCUGAACAGCAUUUGUCACUCCCUCCUGAGAGAUCCUGUAACUCUUGGUAUGUUCAUUCAUUCCAGAAACAUUUUUUUGAGUGCCUACUCUGUGCCAGGCACUGGGCUAGGCUAGAGAAUGUGGACUCUCUAUAACCGUGGCUUUUACGGGACAAUGUCUCCCAAGGCCCUGCUCCGGGCGGGAGACGCUCACCAGCUUCCUGUCCUGGCCGGUGGGGCAGAGGUUCCCCCAGCUCCUCUCCAGGAACAGCCCCGUUCCCACAGAGCCCGGAACUCACAUUUGCAGGGCAGCGCUGCCUGUGCCAAACAAAGUUCCCGCAAAGUUCUGUUCUCUCCAGAACGAGGACACUUGCUGGUGUGCCCAGGAGACAGAGUCCCAGGAUAAACGUGUCGUGUCUUUCUAGAAUGUUAAUUUCACUCAAGGAUUUGGAAGGGAAAGUUAAUUAGUGUAAGCUGAAAAGAAGACCUCAGAGAAUGUCGCGUUUGGAGCUUCACCGCGAGAUUCCUCAGACCUGGCCUCCCCUCUUCUGUCUUCGGAAGCUCUUGCUGGGAAGUCUGGUUGGCUGGGCUGCAUCCAAGUGAGAAUUUGGAUGGAUCAGAGGAGAUUUGAAGAGUAAACGCAUUUGCACAAUUGUUUUGGAUAUCUACUCUAACAACACUGUGGAAGUGAGGAGGGGGUACUGGAGCCCGUCUCCCCACAUUGAGG
RNAcentral lists this long non-coding RNA (713 nucleotides) under Equus caballus (horse). RNAcentral's name for it is "lncRNA (ENSECAG00000059891.1)". Lineage: Eukaryota; Metazoa; Chordata; Mammalia; Perissodactyla; Equidae. The record is from RNAcentral.